RNAcentral lists this ribosomal RNA (253 nucleotides) under uncultured bacterium. RNAcentral's name for it is "partial 16S ribosomal RNA". It matches the Rfam family "Bacterial small subunit ribosomal RNA", at positions 524 to 776 of the family's 1533-position model. The record is from RNAcentral.
UACGAAGGGGGCUAGCGUUACUCGGAAUUAUUGGGCGUAAAGCGCGCGUAGGCGGUUAUGUAAGUUGGGAGUGAAAGCCCAGGGCUCAACCUUGGAAUUGCUUUCAAAACUACGUAGCUUGAGUAUUGGAGAGGAUAGUGGAAUUCCUAGUGUAGAGGUGAAAUUCGUAGAUAUUAGGAGGAACACCAGAUGCGAAAGCGGCUAUCUGGCCAAAUACUGACGCUGUUGCACGAAAGCGUGGGGAGCAAACAGG